AUGGCGUCGCUCUCCGUGGCCACGCUCCCGCAGCUGGCCGGCGCGCCGGCGGCGGCGGCGGCGAAGAAGAGGUCGGGCGUGACGUACGUGGAGGGCAUGAACGCCUACAGCGGCCUCAAGGGGCUCAACAAGGUGACCAUGCUGGGCGUGCGCAAGAGCGCCGACUACAAGUUCGCCAGGAUCGUGGCGUCGCUCAGCCCCGCGGGCAAGAGGCGCGGGGGCUCGUUCGGCGCGCAGUGCAACGCCGCCGGCGAGAUCUUCCAGAUCGCCGUCGUCAUGAACGCGCUCACGCUCGUCGGCGUCGCCGUCGGCUUCGUGCUGCUCCGGGCCGAGGCGGCCUACGAGGAGUCGGAGGAGUGA
Molecule: ribosomal RNA, 360 nt
Filed under: Triticum aestivum (bread wheat)
Lineage: Eukaryota; Viridiplantae; Streptophyta; Magnoliopsida; Poales; Poaceae
Description: partial small subunit ribosomal RNA
Source: RNAcentral